UACGAAGGGGGCUAGCGUUGUUCGGAUUUACUGGGCGUAAAGCGCACGUAGGCGGAUUGUUAAGUCAGGGGUGAAAUCCUGGAGCUCAACUCCAGAACUGCCUUUGAUACUGGCAAUCUUGAGUCCGGAAGAGGUGAGUGGAACUCCUAGUGUAGAGGUGGAAUUCGUAGAUAUUCGCAAGAACACCAGUGGCGAAGGCGGCUCACUGGCCCGGUACUGACGCUGAGGUGCGAAAGCGUGGGGAGCAAACAGG
This 253-nucleotide ribosomal RNA is filed under the name uncultured bacterium. RNAcentral's name for it is "partial 16S ribosomal RNA". It matches the Rfam family "Bacterial small subunit ribosomal RNA", at positions 524 to 776 of the family's 1533-position model. The record is from RNAcentral.